GGCGCCCACGAGAGGAUCCCUCACCCGGGUCUCUCCUCAGGGAUGACAUCAUCCGUCCACCUCCUUGUCUUCAAGGACCACCUCCUCUCCAUGCUGAGCUGCUGCCAAGGGGCCUGCUGCCCAUCUACACCUCACGAGGGCACUAGGAGCACGGUUUCCUGGAUCCCACCAACAUACAAAGCAGCCACUCACUGACCCCCAGGACCAGGAUGGCAAAGGAUGAAGAGGACCGGAACUGACCAGCCAGCUGUCCCUCUUACCUAAAGACUUAAACCAAUGCCCUAGUGAGGGGGCAUUGGGCAUUAAGCCCUGACCUUUGCUAUGCUCAUACUUUGACUCUAUGAGUACUUUCCUAUAAGUCUUUGCUUGUGUUCACCUGCUAGCAAACUGGAGUGUUUCCCUCCCCAAGGGGGUGUCAGUCUUUGUCGACUGACUCUGUCAUCACCCUUAUGAUGUCCUGAAUGGAAGGAUCCCUUUGGGAAAUUCUCAGGAGGGGGACCUGGGCCAAGGGCUUGGCCAGCAUCCUGCUGGCAACUCCAAGGCCCUGGGUGGGCUUCUGGAAUGAGCAUGCUACUGAAUCACCAAAGGCACGCCCGACCUCUCUGAAGAUCUUCCUAUCCUUUUCUGGGGGAAUGGGGUCGAUGAGAGCAACCUCCUAGGGUUGUUGUGAGAAUUAAAUGAGAUAAAAGAGGCCUCAGGCAGGAUCUGGCAUAGAGGAGGUGAUCAGCAAAUGUUUGUUGAAAAGGUUUGACAGGUCAGUCCCUUCCCACCCCUCUUGCUUGUCUUACUUGUCUUAUUUAUUCUCCAACAGCACUCCAGGCAGCCCUUGUCCACGGGCUCUCCUUGCAUCAGCCAAGCUUCUUGAAAGGCCUGUCUACACUUGCUGUCUUCCUUCCUCACCUCCAAUUUCCUCUUCAACCCACUGCUUCCUGACUCGCUCUACUCCGUGGAAGCACGCUCACAAAGGCACGUGGGCCGUGGCCCGGCUGGGUCGGCUGAAGAACUGCGGAUGGAAGCUGCGGAAGAGGCCCUGAUGGGGCCCACCAUCCCGGACCCAAGUCUUCUUCCUGGCGGGCCUCUCGUCUCCUUCCUGGUUUGGGCGGAAGCCAUCACCUGGAUGCCUACGUGGGAAGGGACCUCGAAUGUGGGACCCCAGCCCCUCUCCAGCUCGAAAUCAGUUUGCCCUGCCCCCCAUUCCAACGUGGGCUGCUGCUUCUCCCCAGCGGGUUGUAGCUGGCAGGGCCGUUGUGCUUUGGGGUUUGCUGUACCUGUCGCUGCCGUGAGGGGACGAUCUGUCUGCCCGGAGGGGUUUCUGCAAACAUUCAUCCUCCACAGCCACGGGGACACCCUGCACCUAUUCCCACGGGACAGGCUGGACCCAGAGACUCUGGACCCGGGGCCUCCCCUUGAGUAGAGACCCGCCCUCUGACUGAUGGACGCCGCUGACCUGGGGUCAGACCCGUGGGCUGGACCCCUGCCCACCCCGCAGGAACCCUGAGGCCUAGGGGAGCUGUUGAGCCUUCAGUGUCUGCAUGUGGGAAGUGGGCUCCUUCACCUACCUCACAGGGCUGUUGUGAGGGGCGCUGUGAUGCGGUUCCAAAGCACAGGGCUUGGCGCACCCCACUGUGCUCUCAAUAAAUGUGUUUCCUGUCUUAACAAAAA
Molecule: long non-coding RNA, 1662 nt
Organism: Homo sapiens (human)
Lineage: Eukaryota; Metazoa; Chordata; Mammalia; Primates; Hominidae
Gene: MEG3
Product: maternally expressed 3
Source: Ensembl